Molecule: long non-coding RNA, 2712 nt
Organism: Clupea harengus (Atlantic herring)
Lineage: Eukaryota; Metazoa; Chordata; Actinopteri; Clupeiformes; Clupeidae
Exons: 2
Source: RefSeq, a predicted model, not a curated record
GUGUGUGUGUGUGUGUGUGUGCGCGCGCGCACAGGAGGCAGAGCCCUGCUGUCAGAAUGACAGAGGGACAUGGUUGGCAAAACCCUAUCUCAGUCUUGCUUUUACGGCAACUUAUCUCAUCCGAUACUUAAAGUCUGGGCAUUCCAUUUCUAGAGCUGGUGCCUUUCCAUAUUCAGUAAAGUGACCACAUUUCUGAAAUGAAAACCAGAGACAUUUCCAGUCUGCCGGUCAAUAUAUUAGUAACGUAAUUAAUUUAUAUUAAUAAUUAUUGAAUAUAUAUAAUAUUGGUGGAGUCCCUGUUUAAUCAUGAUGUCAUGAGAGUGUCAUUGGCAGGAGGGGGCUUCCCGUAGAUAACCCUCAUAUUAAAGCACAAACACAGCUGCUAAUGUUUGACAAAUAGAAACAUAAACUCAACGAUAUUCCCUUCACCUGACAACUGUAUCCAGUUUCAUGUAUUGAAUAACGUUGGAGAAAUAUUUGCCAUUGAGGCCCAGUAUAACUACUGUACACUACUGACUGGAGUGGAAUGAGGCUGGUAAGUAUCUGUUAUGACAAUUUAUUUAAAGGGUGCUCAACAGGAAUGAAACCAGCUUUAGAGUAGCCAUAAUCUCAGGUCAGUAGGUAAUGUGUUGUAGAUGCUUUCUUGGAAGCAUGGAAGCCAUCCUGUACACUGCAGAUUGUCGGACGUAUUCCUGACCUUAAUAACUUAAAUCAGAUUAAGGAUACACCUGACGCUAGGCAUUUUCCCCUCUUGUUUGAGAACUGCAAUGAUGUCUUUCCCACUCCAAAUUAACUUUGUCUACCUGUUUGCAUGUGUGUUUGUCUGUGCGUUUGCGUGUGUUUUGGGCAGGCUAAUAUAUGCAAGCAUGCCUCUUUAAACCUGUUAUGGGGAUUUAGCUAGCCUUAUUACCGGUGUGUUAGCAUAAAUUACCCACAUUAGUCCAGGCACAGCUGCCCAGUGACAUGCUAGCUCUGCGACCAGGUUAUUGGGUUGAGGGAGGAAGAAGAGGAGGAGGAGGCUUCCUACGCACUCACCACCCGCCUUCACCUGGCCCUACUUCUGGGGCUUCUGCGUCACAGGCACCUGGCCCAAUCCUGUACCUGAGGAAGCUAAUCUGCUCAUCAAAGCAGUUUAGCCCCUGAUCCCCUCAGGUGCCGGUUAAGUCCUUUAGGGGCAGAGGAAGAUUCCAGAGGCCGAUGAAGGCCAUCACACACCCCUCCAGAGGUCCAGGCCGGGUGCCGUGUCCUUUCUCCAAUGGAAUGUUGCUAGUUCGAUCCCGACUCCUCCUCACCAAGUGUCCUUGAGCAAGACACUGAACCCCCAACCGCACCCGAUGCGCAGGUUGGCAACUUCGAUAGUAGCCUCAGCCAUCGUGUAUGAAUGUGUAGAUGUCUGAGGCAUUAAUGUAUAAAGCGUAAAAUGUAUUGAGUGCUUCAUGAGUAGAAACGCGCUAUAUAAAUGCAGUACGUUUACCAUUUACUUUCUCCACCUCACCAGUGCGCUAUCUGAGAUUCCUGGCGGAGGUACAAUUUCAAACUGGACAGUCGAGCUGUCUUUUUAAUAUAGACAGCCCAGAUAUGAAAUGUGACAACAGUCUGGAGUUAACACUGGUGAAACAGUGGCGAAGUAUACGCCAUAGAAGGGUACCCUUCAGCGACUGAACAAUUUCAACACAAAUCAGUGUCUGUGCUCCUCUACGCAACACACAAGGACACAUGCUGAAGGCAUAAAGCCCUCCUCUGAUAAAGUGUGGUGACACCUGUCUAAAAACUGCAUAAAACUGCUUUCAAGCAUCUAAUCAUCUGCAUGACUGAAGGUUCUUUACGCAGAUGCUAGGAGGUAGUGAAGUGUGUGGUGAGGUUGGUUCUGUAGGUAGGGGCUAGGAGGUAGGGAAGUGUUUGGAGAAGUUGGUUCUGUAGGUAGGGGCUAGGGAAUUAUCUAGUGAGGUUGGUUCUGUAGGUAGAGGCUAGGGACGUAUGUGGUGAGGUUGGUUCUGUAGGUAGGUACUAGGAGGUAGGGAAGUGUGUGGAGAGGUUUGGUAGGUUAAGGGGAUUCAGAUGAAAUAAAAUGUUUGUUCGACAGCUUGAGAAAGUGUACAGCAGUCAGGCAGUUGUUUGUCCUACUGCGGUUCUGCGAUUGGAAUCCUCUCUGGGAGAUCUCCUUCGGGUCUGCAUCAUCCCAUCAGGUAAAGCUGCCCCCUGCUGCGUGUCUUACUGGCGCGAACAUCUCCUGCAACUCACCUGUCCUCAAUCCGCUCAUGGGUCACAUGCGCACGCCCAUUCUCUUCCUCUCACCCACUUAAUCUUCCACUUUAUCUUUUAAUCUGUUUGUUUCUCCUUCGUUUCUCCUGCUCGUUCUCCUCUUUUCCGAGCUUGGUCUCUUGACUUUCUUUGGUCAUUUACAUUUACAGAAAGCGGGUUAUUGCAUUCAAAUCUUCCAGUGUGUUUGUGAUGCAGACACCGUGUAAAACAGCUUUACCCCGAGAGAUGUUCCUCUAGCAGCAGUCGAAACCACCAACAUAACAAAGAGGCAGCACAGGCAUCAGAAUCGCUUUUCAUCUUGUUUUUUUUUUAUCUUACACACUGGAGCAGCUACAUGGUUGUCCCAACCCAAAACACUGGCAGUAUUGUUGAUACCCACAUCAUAAUUUACAUUAAGAUUUACCCCUCAAAAUUACAGAGACGCAAAAACCAAAAUGUCACACAAAAGAA